UAGGGAAUCUUCGGCAAUGGGGGGAACCCUGACCGAGCAACGCCGCGUGAGUGAAGAAGGUUUUCGGAUCGUAAAGCUCUGUUGUUAAGGAAGAACGAGUGUGAGAAUGGAAAGUUCAUGCUGUGACGGUACUUAACCAGAAAGGGACGGCUAACUACGUGCCAGCAGCCGCGGUAAUACGUAGGUCCCGAGCGUUGUCCGGAUUUAUUGGGCGUAAAGCGAGCGCAGGCGGUUAGAAAAGUCUGAAGUGAAAGGCAGUGGCUCAACCAUUGUAGGCUUUGGAAACUGUUUAACUUGAGUGCAGAAGGGGGGAGUGGAAUUCCAUGUGUAGCGGUGAAAUGCGUAGAUAUAUGGAGGAACACCGGUGGCGAAAGCGGCUCUCUGGUCUGUAACUGACGCUGAGGCUCGAAAGCGGGGGGAGCGAACAGG
RNAcentral lists this ribosomal RNA (429 nucleotides) under Verrucomicrobiota bacterium. RNAcentral describes it as "Verrucomicrobia bacterium partial 16S ribosomal RNA". It matches the Rfam family "Bacterial small subunit ribosomal RNA", at positions 355 to 776 of the family's 1533-position model. The record is from RNAcentral. Lineage: Bacteria; Pseudomonadati; Verrucomicrobiota.